This 385-nucleotide ribosomal RNA is filed under the name uncultured bacterium. RNAcentral's name for it is "bacterial SSU rRNA". It matches the Rfam family "Bacterial small subunit ribosomal RNA", at positions 29 to 416 of the family's 1533-position model. The record is from RNAcentral.
AACGAACGUUGAUGGCGUGCCUCAUACAUGCAAGUCGAGCGCCCUUUCCGCAAGGUUAGGGGAGCGGCGAACGGGUGAGUAACACGUAAGGAAUCUGCCCUGAAGCGGGGAAUAACUAUCCAACGGAUAGCUAAUACCGCAUAAUGAUGGAGACGGCAUCGUCUCUUCUCAAAAGGCUUCGGCCACUUCAGGAUGACCUUGCGCCCCAUUAGCUCGUUGGCGGUGUAACGGACCACCAAGGCUACGAUGGGUAUCCGGCCUGAGAGGGUGUACGGACACAUUGGGACUGAGAUACGGCCCAGACUCCUACGGGAGGCAGGCAGUAGGGAAUUUUGCGCAAUGGGGGAAACCCUGACGCAGCAACGCCGCGUGAGGGAUGACGGCC